GUGCCAGCCGCCGCGGUAAAACGUAGGAGGCAAGCGUUAUCCGGAUUCACUGGGCGUAAAGCGUGCGUAGGCGGUUGGGUAAGUCGGAUGUGAAAGCCCCUGGCUCAACUGGGGGAGGCCAUUCGAUACUGCUCGGCUUGAGGGUGAUAGAGGAGAGCGGAAUUCCCGGUGUAGCGGUGGAAUGCGUAGAGAUCGGGAGGAACACCAGCGGCGAAAGCGGCUCUCUGGCUCACCCCUGACGCUGAGAGCACGACAGCGUGGGGAGCAAACGGGAUUAGAUACCCUAGUAGUCC
RNAcentral lists this ribosomal RNA (293 nucleotides) under uncultured bacterium. RNAcentral describes it as "partial 16S ribosomal RNA". It matches the Rfam family "Bacterial small subunit ribosomal RNA", at positions 505 to 796 of the family's 1533-position model. The record is from RNAcentral.